Molecule: ribosomal RNA, 520 nt
Filed under: uncultured Gigaspora
Lineage: Eukaryota; Fungi; Glomeromycota; Glomeromycetes; Diversisporales; Gigasporaceae
Description: SSU rRNA
Rfam family: Eukaryotic small subunit ribosomal RNA
Source: RNAcentral
AGCAGCCGCGGUAAUUCCAGCUCCAAUAGCGUAUAUUAAAGUUGUUGCAGUUAAAAAGCUCGUAGUUGAAUUUCGGGGUUCUACCGUUGGUCGGGCAAUAGUCUGUACUGGCGUGUGGAAUUUCUACCUUCUGGGGAACCAUCAUGUUAUUUAUUUAGCGUGGUGGGAAACCAGGACCUUUACCUUGAAAAAAUUAGAGUGUUCAAAGCAGGCUUACGUCUGAAUACAUUAGCAUGGAAUAAUAAAAUAGGACGGUGGUCCUGUUUUGUUGGUUUCUGAAUCACCGUGAUGAUUAAUAGGGAUAGUUGGGGGCAUUAGUAUUCAAUUGUCAGAGGUGAAAUUCUUGGAUUUAUUGAAGACUAACUUCUGCGAAAGCAUUUGCCAAGGAUGUUUUCAUUAAUCAAGAACGAAAGUUAGGGGAUCGAAGACGAUCAGAUACCGUCGUAGUCUUAAACCAUAAACUAUGCCGACUAGGGAUCGGACGAUGUUAAUUUUUCUUGUACUCGUUCGGCGCCUUACG